RNAcentral lists this ribosomal RNA (1001 nucleotides) under actinobacterium MPD-93. Its description in RNAcentral is "bacterial SSU rRNA". It matches the Rfam family "Bacterial small subunit ribosomal RNA", at positions 505 to 1501 of the family's 1533-position model. Lineage: Bacteria; Bacillati; Actinomycetota; Actinomycetes. The record is from RNAcentral.
GUGCCAGCAGCCCGCGGUAAUACGUAGGGCGCAAGCGUUAUCCGGAAUUAUUGGGCGUAAAGAGCUCGUAGGCGGUUUGUCGCGUCUGCUGUGAAAUCCGGAGGCUCAACCUCCGGCCUGCAGUGGGUACGGGCAGACUAGAGUGCGGUAGGGGAGAUUGGAAUUCCUGGUGUAGCGGUGGAAUGCGCAGAUAUCAGGAGGAACACCGGUGGCGAAGGCAGAUCUCUGGGCCGUAACUGACGCUGAGGAGCGAAAGGGUGGGGAGCAAACAGGCUUAGAUACCCUGGUAGUCCACCCCGUAAACGUUGGGAACUAGUUGUGGGGUCCAUUCCACGGAUUCCGUGACGCAGCUAACGCAUUAAGUUCCCCGCCUGGGGAGUACGGCCGCAAGGCUAAAACUCAAAGGAAUUGACGGGGACCCGCACAAGCGGCGGAGCAUGCGGAUUAAUUCGAUGCAACGCGAAGAACCUUACCAAGGCUUGACAUAUACGAGAACGGGCCAGAAAUGGUCAACUCUUUGGACACUCGUAAACAGGUGGUGCAUGGUUGUCGUCAGCUCGUGUCGUGAGAUGUUGGGUUAAGUCCCGCAACGAGCGCAACCCUCGUUCUAUGUUGCCAGCACGUAAUGGUGGGAACUCAUGGGAUACUGCCGGGGUCAACUCGGAGGAAGGUGGGGAUGACGUCAAAUCAUCAUGCCCCUUAUGUCUUGGGCUUCACGCAUGCUACAAUGGCCGGUACAAAGGGCUGCAAUACCGCGAGGUGGAGCGAAUCCCAAAAAGCCGGUCCCAGUUCGGAUUGAGGUCUGCAACUCGACCUCAUGAAGUCGGAGUCGCUAGUAAUCGCAGAUCAGCAACGCUGCGGUGAAUACGUUCCCGGGUCUUGUACACACCGCCCGUCAAGUCAUGAAAGUCGGUAACACCUGAAGCCGGUGGCCUAACCCUUGUGGAGGGAGCCGUCGAAGGUGGGAUCGGUAAUUAGGACUAAGUCGUAACAAGGUAGCC